AUCCUUGUGUAGUUUGUACGUGUGAUGAUCGGGUGUUUGCACGUAUGUGUGAGAUGUGUCACCCCUGGACCUUGUUACGACAUCAGCACAUGACCCGUCUACA
This is a small nucleolar RNA of Saimiri boliviensis boliviensis (Bolivian squirrel monkey), 103 nucleotides long. RefSeq annotates it as small nucleolar RNA U13. Lineage: Eukaryota; Metazoa; Chordata; Mammalia; Primates; Cebidae. The record is from RefSeq and is a predicted model, not a curated record.